This 753-nucleotide long non-coding RNA is filed under the name Hordeum vulgare. RNAcentral's name for it is "long non-coding RNA (HVUL_LNC007762)". Lineage: Eukaryota; Viridiplantae; Streptophyta; Magnoliopsida; Poales; Poaceae. The record is from RNAcentral.
UGAGAUAUAUUUUUUUCGGUUGCACAUCAAGCGACGGCUCUCCCGAUCCGAUCGGGAGCAGGGCGGCGGCGGCAUGUCUCCGGGAGGCGGGGAACGGCGUGGAAACAACGGACGACGAGGCGCGGCGGAUCAGAUCAGGAUAGAGCGCGGCGGAUCAGAUCAGGAUCGAGCAUGGCGGUGCGUAGUGGAGGCCGCUGGCGGCGACAUGGCUCCGAAAGGCGGGGAACGGCGUGGAAACAACAGACGACGAUGCGAGGCGGAUCAGAUCAGGAUCAAGCGCGGCGGUGCGUAGUGGAGGCCGUCGGCGACAGCGCUCCAUGGCCAUGGCGGCUCGGCCUUGUGGGAAGAAGAGACGAGGGAGAGAGAGGAGGUGAGAUGGAGAGAAGUGAUGGAGAGCAAAGGUGACACAGAUUCGUUUUGCUAGUCCCGCGGUGGCUCCGAUCGGCUGAUCAAGGUACGUGUCCUGAUUUCUCUCCUCCCUGUAAAAAAAAUUAUGCCUUGUCGUUGCUAGCUGUUAGAUAUGCCUUCAUAAGUUCGGAAUGUGACCAACAACAACCUACAGGUCGGGUGAGAGUUCAGUGGCAUGGGCAUCCUCUCCCGUGAUUUAUUUUGCAUGGAAGAUUUUGUUGUGGUAUGUGUGGGCAGCACCCUUGAGAGUUGGGUACAUGUUCAGUAGAUAUAACAACUUUUCUGGUGACUUCCUCAUCUAAUGUUCGGAUGCAAUUUUUGGAACAGUGAAUGCACGCAUGAGAG